This is a long non-coding RNA of Astyanax mexicanus (Mexican tetra), 548 nucleotides long. RefSeq lists it as uncharacterized. The transcript is spliced from 3 exons. Lineage: Eukaryota; Metazoa; Chordata; Actinopteri; Characiformes; Acestrorhamphidae. The record is from RefSeq and is a predicted model, not a curated record.
UCUAAUAAAGUGGAAGGUUUGUGGAAGUACAAGGUAGGGGUUUCUAAUAAAGUGGCCAGUGAGUGGAAGUACAGGGUAGGUGUUUAUAAUAAAGAGGCCAGUGUGUGGAAGUACAGGGUAGGUGUUUCUAAUAAAGUGGAAAGUUUGUGGAAGUAUAGGGUAGGUGUUUCUAAUAAAAUGGCCAGUUUGUGGAAGUACAAGGUAGGGGUUUCUAAUAAAGUGGCCAGUGAGUGGAAGUACAGGGUAGGUGUUUAUGAUAAAGUGGCCAGUGUAUGGAAGUAUAGGGUAGGGGGUUCUAAUAAAGUGGAAGGUUUGUGGAAGUACAAGGUAGGGGUUUCUAAUAAAGUGGCCAGUGAGUGGAAGUACAGGGUAGGUGUUUAUGAUAAAGUGGCCAGUGUAUGGAAGUAUAGGGUAGGGGGUUCUAAUAAAGUGGAAGGUUUGUGGAAGUACAAGGUAGGGGUUUCUAAUAAAGUGGCCAGUGAGUGGAAGUACAAGGUAGGUGUUUCUAAUAGAGUGGCCAGUGUGUGGAAGUACAGAGUAGGGGUUUC